UUGGGAACGGUCUGCUUGCAAGAGAUUGAAGGCGAGUUAGCCCUGCGAGCGCUGCUCGUUCGACGACGACAUCAGGUGAGAGAUUAGGGUUUCAAACGGCGCCGAGUCGGGGCCAAGAAUCGCCGCGAGUUGCGCUUGCUGGAGCUGAGUUGACUCGGGAUCCAUGGGAGAAAAUUAGGUUUUUGGGGGUGAGAUGAUUAAGAGCAGUGGUGGUGAUGGAGGCGCUCUCUCACUCACUCUCUCUAAAAAUAUAUCUUGCUUUUCCCGCACUCUCUGGAGGAGUGUUGUUAUGGUGGGGCUAAUUAGGGCGAGAGACACUACAUAAAAAGUGGAGCAUUCGCUGUGAUUAGCGUGUCGAUAAUUAGUACUAAUCUUUUGCGUAAACUACAUUAUCUCCCCUGAGAUUUCUAAUAAAUACAAACAUCCCUAUAUUUUUUGAAGUUAUUCCCUGACAAUAGACUAAGACCUCCUCUCUGUUAUGACGGAAGAUUCUGCUGGCCGGCCUCGUCUCAUUUUGAUCAUAGUGCCAAUUUUGU
This 536-nucleotide long non-coding RNA is filed under the name Actinidia chinensis (golden kiwifruit). RNAcentral describes it as "long non-coding RNA (ACHI_LNC003039)". Lineage: Eukaryota; Viridiplantae; Streptophyta; Magnoliopsida; Ericales; Actinidiaceae. The record is from RNAcentral.